This 3457-nucleotide long non-coding RNA is filed under the name Lathyrus oleraceus (garden pea). RNAcentral describes it as "Pisum sativum (pea) long non-coding RNA (PSAT_LNC030841)". Lineage: Eukaryota; Viridiplantae; Streptophyta; Magnoliopsida; Fabales; Fabaceae. The record is from RNAcentral.
CUAUUCACUUUAGAGUGCGCUUCUUUAAGAAAGCGCCCUCUAAGGUGCGCUGUCUAUUCCAGUUUUUGGCGUAGUGAAGUGAUUUCUGAUAUAGGUUGAUCUUUUGAUGGUUACACAUCUCUAACUCUCUCAUUUUGUCACUCUAUUCAUCUGUGUUUCCUCUUAUUUUAAAUUUUAUUCUUGCAUCACCAAUGAUUAUGAUAGGGUUUUUCGUAUUGUUUUGAUGAGAUUGAGAUGUUUGUUAGGAUUAUGAGGAUCCCACAAUAAUAAAGGUGGUGCUAAUGUAACACUGGAAACAUGAUUGAGUUGGUUUCCUUUAUAACAUACGGUCUCAUUUUCAUUUUCUUGUAAUUAUUCUAUUUUCUUUUUUUCUUUUUCAUUUUCUUGUAAUUAUUCUUUUUUCUUUUUUUCUUUUUCAUUUUCUACUUAUAAUUAGUAUUUUAGCAUAUUUUUUAAUCUACAUAACUUAUGUUAAUUGUUUAAUUAUCAGAAUAUAGAAGAUGACAUUUUAUGUUCUUUAGGAUAUAAGUAUAUAUUUAAUAAAUUUUGAUGUUCAAUACAUAUCUUUCUAAACUAAUUAAUGUCAAGGUUUGUUACUCAUUACAUGUUUGAUUGAUUUAUAUAAUUGAGGUUGUACUUAAUAUAAAUAUUUACUUUACAAUACUUAAUAGAAAACUCUGGUUCAUAAUCACUUUAUGAUUGUAUAAACAAAAUAAAAAGGGUAAAAAAAUACGUACUGCUGAAAAAUUGUCAUAUUUUCCUUUUUUUUCUAUCUUUUAUGAGUAAUUUUCUUUCUUAUCUAUCAAAUGUACAAAUCAAGUGAUUUCUGAUAUAGGUUGAUCUUUUGAUGGUUACACAUCUCUAACUCUCUCAUUUUGUCACUCUAUUCAUCUGUGUUUCUUCUUAUUUUCAAUUUUAUUCUUGCGUCACCAAUGAUUAUGAUAGGGUUUUCGUAUUAUUUUGAUGAGAUUGAGAUGGUUGUUAGGAUUAUAAGGAUCUCAAAAUAAUAAAGAUGGUGCUAAUGUAACACUGGAAAAAUGAUUGAGUUGGUUUCCUUUAUAACAUACGGUCUCAUUUUCAUUUUCUUGUAAUUAUUCUAUUUUCUUUUUUUCUUUUUCAUUUUCUUGUAAUUAUUCUUUUUUCUUUUUUCCUUUUUCAUUUUUUACAUAUAAUUAGUAUUUGCAUAUUUUUUAAUCCAUAUAACUUAUUAUAAUUGUUUAAUUAUCAGAAUAUAGAAGAUGACAUGUUAUGUUCUUAAGGAUAUAAUUAUAUAUUUAAUUAAUUUUGAUGUUCAAUACAUAUCUUUCUAAACUAAUUAAUGUCAAGGUUUUUAACUCAUUACAUGUUUGAUUGAUUUAUAUAAUCGAGGAUGUACUUAAUAGAAAUAUUUAACUUACAUUAUUUAAUAGAAAUCUCUGGUUCAUAAUCACUUUAUGAUUGUAUAAACAAAAUACAAAUGGUAAAUAAAUAUGUACUGCUGAAAAAUUGUCAUGUUCUCCUUUUUUUCUAUCUUUUAUGAGUAGUUUUCUUUCUUAUCUAUCAAAUGUACAAAUCAAGUGAUUUCUGAUAUAGGUUGAUCUUUUGAUAGUUACACAUCUCUAACUCUCUCAUUUUGUCACUCUAUUCAUCUGUGUUUUUUCUUAUUUUCAAUUUUAUUCUUGCGUCACCAAUGAUUAUGAUAGGGUUUUUAUAUUAUUUUGAUGAGAUUGAGAUGGUUGUUAGGAUUAUAAGGUUCUCAAAAUAAUAAAGAUGGUGCUAAUGUAACACUGGAAAAAUGAUUGAGUUGGUUUCCUUUAUAACAUACUGUCACAUUUUCAUUUUCUUGUAAUUAUUCUAUUUUCAUUUUUUCUUUUUCAUUUUCUUGUAAUUAUUCUUUUUUCUUUUUUUCCUUUUCAUUUUCUACUUAUAAUUAGUAUUUUAGCAUAUUUUUUAAUCUACAUAACUUAUGUUAAUUGUUUAAUUAUCAGAAUAUAGAAGAUGACAUUUUAUGUUCUUUAGAAUAUAAGUUUAUAUUUAAUAAAUUUUGAUGUUCAAUACAUAUCAUUCUAAACUAAUUAAUGUCAAGGUUUGUUACUCAUUACAUGUUUGAUUGAUUUAUAUAAUCGAGGAUGUACUUAAUAGAAAUAUUUAGCUUACAUUAUUUAAUAGAAAUCUCUGGUUCAUAAUCACUUUAUGAUUGUAUAAACAAAAUACAAAUGGUAAAUAAAUAUGUACUACUGAAAAAUUGUCAUGUUCUCCUUUUUUUCUAUCUUUUAUGAGUAGUUUUCUUUCUUAUCUAUCAAAUGUACAAAUCAAGUGAUUUCUGAUAUAGGUUGAUCUUUUGAUAGUUACACAUCUCUAACUCUCUCAUUUUGUCAAUCUAUUCAUCUGUGUUUCUUCUUAUUUUCAAUUUUAUUCUUGCGUCACCCAUGAUUAUGUUAGGGUUUUCGUAUUAUUUUGAUGAGAUUUAGAUGGUUGUUAGGAUUAUAAGGAUCUCGAAAUAAUAAAGAUGGUGCUAAUGUAACACUGGAAAAAUGAUUGAGUUGGUUUCCUUUAUAACAUACGGUCACAUUUUCAUUUUCUUGUAAUUAUUCUAUUUUCAUUUUUUCUUUUUCAUUUUCUUGUAAUUAUUCUUUUUUCUUUUUUUCUUUUUCAUUUUCUACUUAUAAUUAGUAUUUUAGCAUAUUUUUUAAUCUACAUAACUUAUGUUAAUUGUUUAAUUAUCAGAAUAUAGAAGAUGACAUUUUAUGUUCUUUAGGAUAUAAGUAUAUAUUUAAUAAAUUUUGAUGUUCAAUACAUAUCUUUCUAAACUAAUUAAUGUCAAGGUUUGUUACUCAUUACAUGUUUGAUUGAUUUAUAUAAUUGAGGUUGUACUUAAUAUAAAUAUUUACUUUACAAUACUUAAUAGAAAACUCUGGUUCAUAAUCACUUUAUGAUUGUAUAAACAAAAUAAAAAGGGUAAAAAAAUACGUACUGCUGAAAAAUUGUCAUAUUUUCCUUUUUUUUCUAUCUUUUAUGAGUAAUUUUCUUUCUUAUCUAUCAAAUGUACAAAUCAAGUGAUUUCUGAUAUAGGUUGAUCUUUUGAUGGUUACACAUCUCUAACUCUCUCAUUUUGUCAAUCCAUUCAUCUGUGUUUCCUCUUAUUUUAAAUUUUAUUCUUGCAUCACCAAUGAUUAUGAUAGGGUUUUUCGUAUUGUUUUGAUGAGAUUGAGAUGUUUGUUAGGAUUAUGAGGAUCUCACAAUAAUAAAGGUGGUGCUAAUGUAACACUGGAAACAUGAUUGAGUUGGUUUCCUUUAUAACAUACGGUCUCAUUUUCAUUUUCUUGUAAUUAUUCUAUUUUCUUUUUUUCUUUUUCAUUUUCUUGUAAUUAUUCUUUUUUCUUUAUUCCUUUUUCAUUUUUUACAUAUAAUUAGUAUUUUUGCAUAUUUUAAUCCAUAUAACUUAUGUUAAUUGUUUAAUUAUCAGAAUAUAGAAGAU